UACUCGUGUGAAUAGAUCAAUGAUCGCACCAGAGAGAAACCCAACCGUGUGAGUAGAUCGCAUGUAGCAUGUAAACAUGCACCGUAGCUCACAUUGCAUGAAUAACACGUGUUCCACUUUUCUCCUCUCUCUUCCCUGUUUAUCUUUCCACUGCCCCCUCUCUCUCUUUCUCCGCUUCCUCUUCCCACUCUACCUCUCAUCCUAUUUCAUCACUUCCCUCACUCUCUUCCUCUAUCUUUUUUAGCUUUUUUCUGUGGUUUGGUUUCUUAUUUGCAUGCUUGAGCAGCCUUCUCCGUUGAAGAAACCCUAAGUCUAGCAGUUCGGGUUUCUUAUUUUUUGUUCUAAAUGAAACCCUCUUUUCCCCUGAUUUUAGCUCAGUUGAUAAAGUGAAGGACUGGGAAUGGGUUUGUCGCUACUUUGAAUCUGGCUACGCUUAUUGUAGAGUUGUUGCUGGUUUCGGGGUAGCCAAUGGAUGCAUUAGGUUGGUUUGUGUUGGAGAUGGAGGUUGAAGGCUAACCAAUCCAUCCACCAUUCGCCCAUGUUAAAUUGUCAAUUAUGUGACUGAUGAUUUAAGUUGAGGAGAAAGAGGGAACAUCUCCAUCUUUGGGCUUAGAGGCAGGUUC
Long non-coding RNA from Nelumbo nucifera (sacred lotus), 623 nucleotides. RefSeq lists it as uncharacterized. Lineage: Eukaryota; Viridiplantae; Streptophyta; Magnoliopsida; Proteales; Nelumbonaceae. The record is from RefSeq and is a predicted model, not a curated record.